GGCUUUAACCCCCUGAGCCACCCAGGCGCCCCUGAUAAAGGCUGUCCCCAGAAUGGCUGAGGAAGUGGUCGCACCCUGCCAGCCGGGGAAGCAGAAACACAGCCCACCCCUAGGACUCUCUUGAAAUGAUUGAGAUGAACCGUUGGACCAGGAUAUGACAAAAGGGAGCUGUGCUACGUCGAUCCCAGCUGCAGUGAAUGGGAGGGUCUGUUGCUUCAC
Long non-coding RNA from Neogale vison (American mink), 219 nucleotides. RefSeq lists it as uncharacterized. The transcript has 3 exons. NCBI's taxonomy places the organism in Eukaryota, Metazoa, Chordata, Mammalia, Carnivora, Mustelidae. The record is from RefSeq and is a predicted model, not a curated record.